RNAcentral lists this ribosomal RNA (402 nucleotides) under uncultured bacterium. RNAcentral's name for it is "bacterial SSU rRNA". It matches the Rfam family "Bacterial small subunit ribosomal RNA", at positions 11 to 417 of the family's 1533-position model. The record is from RNAcentral.
GUUUGAUCCUGGCUCAGAUUGAACGCUGGCGGCAUGCUUUACACAUGCAAGUCGAACGGGGUUGGGAGCUUGCUUCCAAUCUAGUGGCGAACGGGUGAGUAAUACAUCGGAACGUACCGUGUAGUGGGGGAUAACGUAGCGAAAGUUACGCUAAUACCGCAUACGAUCCACGGAUGAAAGCAGGGGACCUUCGGGCCUUGUGCUAUACGAGCGGCCGAUGUCUGAUUAGCUAGUUGGUGAGGUAAAGGCUCACCAAGGCGACGAUCAGUAGCGGGUCUGAGAGGAUGAUCCGCCACACUGGGACUGAGACACGGCCCAGACUCCUACGGGAGGCAGCAGUGGGGAAUUUUGGACAAUGGGCGCAAGCCUGAUCCAGCCAUGCCGCGUGUCUGAAGAAGGCCU